UACCGCGGCCCUUCCUGGGCGUUUCCUCCCUGAACUUGGCCGCUCCUUUGGGAGCGGCCUUUUUUCUUUCCAGG
RNAcentral lists this small RNA (74 nucleotides) under Rhizomicrobium palustre. Its description in RNAcentral is "Rhizobiales bacterium A48 Makes More Granules Regulator RNA (mmgR)". It matches the Rfam family "Makes More Granules Regulator RNA (mmgR)". From Rfam's summary of the family: SuhB later renamed mmgR (makes more granules regulator) was a putative non-coding RNA found multiple times in the Agrobacterium tumefaciens genome and related alpha-proteobacteria. The record is from Rfam by way of RNAcentral. Lineage: Bacteria; Pseudomonadati; Pseudomonadota; Alphaproteobacteria; Micropepsales; Micropepsaceae.